AUCUCAUCUCUCUCUUCUUUGCCGCUUCUUGUAGC
This 35-nucleotide small RNA is filed under the name Arabidopsis thaliana (thale cress). RNAcentral describes it as "ATSL238310". The record is from RNAcentral. Lineage: Eukaryota; Viridiplantae; Streptophyta; Magnoliopsida; Brassicales; Brassicaceae.